UACAGAGGUCCCGAGCGUUGUUCGGAUUCAUUGGGCGUAAAGGGUGCGUAGGUGGCGCUGUAAGUGGGGUGUGAAAUCUCGGGGCUCAACCCCGAAACUGCACUUGAUACUGCCUUGCUCGAGUACUGGAGAGGAGAUUGGAAUUUACGGUGUAGCAGUGAAAUGCGUAGAUAUGCGGAGGAACACCGAUGGCGAAGGCAAUCCCCUGGGCCUGCACUGACGCUCAUGCACGAAAGCGUGGGGAGCAAACAGG
RNAcentral lists this ribosomal RNA (253 nucleotides) under uncultured bacterium. RNAcentral describes it as "partial 16S ribosomal RNA". It matches the Rfam family "Bacterial small subunit ribosomal RNA", at positions 524 to 776 of the family's 1533-position model. The record is from RNAcentral.